GACGAACGCUGGCGGCGUGCCUAAUACAUGCAAGUAGAACGCUGAAGGAGGAGCUUGCUUCUCCGGAUGAGUUGCGAACGGGUGAGUAACGCGUAGGUAACCUGCCUGGUAGCGGGGGAUAACUAUUGGAAACGAUAGCUAAUACCGCAUAAGAGUAGAUGUUGCAUGACAUUUGCUUAAAAGGUGCAAUUGCAUCACUACCAGAUGGACCUGCGUUGUAUUAGCUAGUUGGUGGGGUAACGGCUCACCAAGGCGACGAUACAUAGCCGACCUGAGAGGGUGAUCGGCCACACUGGGACUGAGACACGGCCCAGACUCCUACGGGAGGCAGCAGUAGGGAAUCUUCGGCAAUGGACGGAAGUCUGACCGAGCAACGCCGCGUGAGUGAAGAAGGUUUUCGGAUCGUAAAGCUCUGUUGUAAGAGAAGAACGAGUGUGAGAGUGGAAAGUUCACACUGUGACGGUAUCUUACCAGAAAGGGACGCCUAACUACGUG
RNAcentral lists this ribosomal RNA (495 nucleotides) under uncultured bacterium. RNAcentral's name for it is "partial 16S ribosomal RNA". It matches the Rfam family "Bacterial small subunit ribosomal RNA", at positions 28 to 507 of the family's 1533-position model. The record is from RNAcentral.